CAUCAGUCAGAUAAGCCAUGCAUGUCUAAGUACACAUCAUCUUACGAUGAAACCGCGAAUGGCUCAUUAAAUCAGCUAUGGUUCCUUGGAUCGUGUAUCUAACAUGGAUAACUGUGGGAAUUCUAGAGCUAAUACAUGCAUCAAAGCCAUGACCGCAAGGGAACGGCGCAUUUAUUAGAUCAAAACCAACCGGGCUCCGGCCUGAGUUUUUUGAUGACUCUGGAUAAACUUUAGCAGAUCGCAUGGCCUUGAGCCGGCGACGUAUCCUUCAAAUGUCUGCCCUAUCAACUUACGUUGGUAGGUUACCUGCCUACCAUGGUGAUCACGGGUAACGGGGAAUCAGGGUUCGAUUCCGGAGAGGGAGCAUGAGAAACGGCUACCAGAACUACGGUUUGCAGCAGGCGCGCAAAUUACCCACUCCCAGUACGGGGAGGUAGUGACGAAAAAUAACAAUACGGGUCUUUUUAUAGGCCCCGUAAUUGGAAUGAGUACACCUUAAAACCAUUAACGAGUACCAAUUGGAGGGCAAGUCUGGUGCCAGCAGCCGCGGUAAUUCCAGCUCCAAUAGCGUAUAUUAAAGUAGUUGCAGUUAAAAAGCUCGUAGGUGGAUCUGAGGAGUAUAGCCAGUGGUUGGUCACACGACCAUACUGCUCGCUCGGCCUACAUAGACUUUGAUUGCUUUGAUGCUCCCCAUUGAAUGACAUUUUUAAUCGGCCCCGUUUACUUUUUGGAAACUGUUUAUGCUCAGAACUAGCGCGGUAUCUGAUCAGAUAUCGAAUCCUCUGACGUUCGAUGAAGACGACUGGAAAUUAUUCUGUGGCUAGUGCCUUGGACUGAUGGACUGAUCGUGCGAUGAUCGGAAGACUUUCAUCCUCUCUCCACUCGCGAUGCGAAAUGCUCCAGUUCUUCCCUUCAUAAUCAAUUCGCUCAGUCUCGAAAACUAAGAACGAUAGUCAGUUCUUCUCUAUAUCGAGAUGUUCUGAACGACGGGUCUGAUUGAUCUAACAUUUCUAACAACGUAGCCGUCAUAGCACUCAUCAGCCAAACAUGCAAUUUGGCGAUCGUAUGUUGACACACGUAGCUCAGCUAGCACGCAUUGAGCCACGUUCAACUAGCGAUCUGUCGACGAGUUCA
Molecule: ribosomal RNA, 1134 nt
Filed under: Prostheceraeus crozeri
Lineage: Eukaryota; Metazoa; Platyhelminthes; Polycladida; Euryleptidae
Description: bacterial SSU rRNA
Rfam family: Eukaryotic small subunit ribosomal RNA (bases 1-1006)
Source: RNAcentral